UACGUAGGGGGCAAGCGUUGUCCGGAAUUAUUGGGCGUAAAGCGCGCGCAGGCGGUCCUUUAAGUCUGGUGUUUAAGCCCGAGGCUCAACCUCGGUUCGCACUGGAAACUGGAGUACUUGAGUGCAGGAGAGGAAAGCGGAAUUCCACGUGUAGCGGUGAAAUGCGUAGAGAUGUGGAGGAACACCAGUGGCGAAGGCGGCUUUCUGGACUGUAACUGACGCUGAGGCGCGAAAGCGUGGGGAGCAAACAGG
RNAcentral lists this ribosomal RNA (252 nucleotides) under uncultured bacterium. RNAcentral's name for it is "partial 16S ribosomal RNA". It matches the Rfam family "Bacterial small subunit ribosomal RNA", at positions 524 to 776 of the family's 1533-position model. The record is from RNAcentral.